GACGAACGCUGGCGGCGUGCUUAACACAUGCAAGUCGAACGAAGUGGCGAACGGGUGAGUAACGCGUAAUCAACCUGCCCUUCAGAGGGGGACAACAGUUGGAAACGACUGCUAAUACCGCAUACUGAAGGAGGGGAUUGCGUCUGAUUAGCUAGUUGGGGGGGUAACGGCCCACCAAGGCGAGGAACAGUAGCCGGGCUGAGAGGAUGAACGGCCACAUGGGGCCGGAGACAAGGCCCAGACUCCCACGGGAGGCAGCAGUGGGGAAUCCUCCGCAAUGGACGAAAGUCUGACGGAGCAAAGCCGCGUGAUGGAUGACUGCCCUCGGGUUGUAAAGCUCUGUUAAUCGGGACGCGGUACCGGAAUAGAAAGCCACGGCUAACUACGUGCCAGCAGCCGCGGUAAUAC
This 408-nucleotide ribosomal RNA is filed under the name uncultured bacterium. Its description in RNAcentral is "partial 16S ribosomal RNA". It matches the Rfam family "Bacterial small subunit ribosomal RNA", at positions 28 to 526 of the family's 1533-position model. The record is from RNAcentral.